UACGAAGGGGGCGAGCGUUGUUCGGAAUUACUGGGCGUAAAGGGCGCGUAGGCGGCGACCCAAGUCAGAUGUGAAAGUCCUGGGCUUAACCUGGGGACUGCAUUUGAUACUGGGUUGCUUGAAUUCGGGAGAGGGAUGUGGAAUUCCAGGUGUAGCGGUGAAAUGCGUAGAUAUCUGGAGGAACACCGGUGGCGAAGGCGGCAUCCUGGACCGGCAUUGACGCUGAGGCGCGAAAGCCAGGGGAGCAAACGGG
Molecule: ribosomal RNA, 253 nt
Filed under: uncultured bacterium
Lineage: Bacteria
Description: partial 16S ribosomal RNA
Rfam family: Bacterial small subunit ribosomal RNA
Source: RNAcentral